CCUACGGGGGGCUGCAGUGGGGAAUAUUGGACAAUGGGGGGAACCCUGAUCCAGCCAUGCCGCGUGUGUGAAGAUGGCCCUCGGGUUGUAAAGCACUUUCAGUGAGGAAGAACGCCUGGUGGUUAAUACCCAUCAGGAAAGACAUCACUCACAGAAGAAGCACCGGCUAACUCCGUGCCAGCAGCCGCGGUAAUACGGAGGGUGCGAGCGUUAAUCGGAAUUACUGGGCGUAAAGCGCGCGUAGGUGGCUUGAUAAGCCGGUUGUGAAAGCCCCGGGCUCAACCUGGGAACGGCAUCCGGAGCUGUCAAGCUAGAGUGCAGGAGAGGAAGGUAGAAUUCCCGGUGUAGCGGUGAAAUGCGUAGAGAUCGGGAGGAAUACCAGUGGCGAAGGCGGCCUUCUGGACUGACACUGACACUGAGGUGCGAAAGCGUGGGUAGCAAACAGGAUUAGAUACCCUGGUAGUC
This 465-nucleotide ribosomal RNA is filed under the name Vreelandella stevensii. RNAcentral's name for it is "partial 16S ribosomal RNA". It matches the Rfam family "Bacterial small subunit ribosomal RNA", at positions 338 to 795 of the family's 1533-position model. The record is from RNAcentral. Lineage: Bacteria; Pseudomonadati; Pseudomonadota; Gammaproteobacteria; Oceanospirillales; Halomonadaceae.